This 640-nucleotide unclassified non-coding RNA is filed under the name Phyllospongia papyracea. RNAcentral describes it as "sequence contains ITS1, 5.8S rRNA gene, ITS2". The stretch from base 275 to 429 matches the Rfam family "5.8S ribosomal RNA". The record is from RNAcentral. Lineage: Eukaryota; Metazoa; Porifera; Demospongiae; Dictyoceratida; Thorectidae. RNAcentral also lists the same sequence under 1 other name.
CGUAGGUGAACCUGCGGAAGGAUCAUUAACAAAUCCUAGCCGUCGCUUCGCGCGAUAGCAAAACACCGUGCACUGGCAGCCGGAGAGGGGAGAGUCCACUCGGUUCAACGAAGGUGUGCCGCCGGCAUUCGGUUGGGUGCGGCACUUGAAUCAGUGAGAAUCGGCUCCGCCACCGCCCACUGGGCCUUGAACCGAUCUCCCGUCUUUGGUUUUUUGCGUGACCGUUUGUGAAACCUUGUGGUGUAUUGAUUUUUAUUUUGGCAAAAAAUUUGACAACUUCUGACGGUGGAUCUCUUGGCUCGUGCAUCGAUGAAGAACGCAGCAAGCUGCGAUACGUAGUGUGAAUUGCAGAAUUCAGUGAAUCAUCGAGUCUUUGAACGCAAAUGGCGCUCCCGGGGUCUCCUCGGGAGCAGGUCUGUCCGAGCGUCCGCCAAUCGACGAAAGCGUUGUCGUCCAAGAGACGGCAAGAGUGAGGAGCUGCGACGAGGCGUCCGCGCCGUGCGCCGCACUCCCUGAAGAGACGCGGCCGUGGACUGCGACGCGGCGGUCCGACGAGACGUCGUCGCGACAUCGUGAACGGUUGCGACGAUGCAUCCCGUGCGUACCCCGCGGCGGAGUCGGCAGCAAGAGACAUCAGGAA